This 471-nucleotide ribosomal RNA is filed under the name uncultured Solicoccozyma. Its description in RNAcentral is "partial large subunit ribosomal RNA". It matches the Rfam family "Eukaryotic large subunit ribosomal RNA", at positions 197 to 656 of the family's 3401-position model. Lineage: Eukaryota; Fungi; Basidiomycota; Tremellomycetes; Filobasidiales; Piskurozymaceae. The record is from RNAcentral.
GCAGCGUCAUAGAGGGUGAGAAUCCCGUCCUUGACAUGGACUACCAAUGCUUUGUGAUACGUUUUCAACGAGUCGAGUUGUUUGGGAAUGCAGCUCAAAAUGGGUGGUAAAUUCCAUCUAAAGCUAAAUAUUGGCGAGAGACCGAUAGCGAACAAGUACCGUGAGGGAAAGAUGAAAAGCACUUUGGAAAGAGAGUUAAACAGUAUGUGAAAUUGUUGAAAGGGAAACGAUUGAAGUCAGUCGUGGGUCUUGCAUUCAGCUGGUUCUGCCAGUGUACUUGCUUGACCUGGGGUCAACAUCGGUUUUGGCUGUCGGAAAAGGUUGGGGGGAAUGUAGCACUCUCGGGUGAACUUAUAGCCCUUUAACGUAUACGAUGGCUGGGACCGAGGAACGCAGCUUGCCUUUAUGGCCGGGGUUCGCCCACGUACAAGCUUAGGAUGUUGACAUAAUGGCUUUAAACGACCCGUCUUG